Molecule: ribosomal RNA, 254 nt
Filed under: uncultured bacterium
Lineage: Bacteria
Description: partial 16S ribosomal RNA
Rfam family: Bacterial small subunit ribosomal RNA
Source: RNAcentral
UACGUAGGGACCAAGCGUUGUUCGGAUUUACUGGGCGUAAAGGGCGCGUAGGCGGCAAUUCAAGUCAUCUGUGAAAUCUCCGGGCUUAACCCGGAACGGUCAGGUGAUACUGUUUUGCUAGAGUGCGGAAGGGGCAAUCGGAAUUCUCGGUGUAGCGGUGAAAUGCGUAGAUAUCGAGAGGAACACCAGAGGUGAAGACGGGUUGUUGGGCCGACACUGACGCUGACAGCGCGAAAGCCAGGGGAGCAAACGGG